This 452-nucleotide ribosomal RNA is filed under the name uncultured bacterium. Its description in RNAcentral is "bacterial SSU rRNA". It matches the Rfam family "Bacterial small subunit ribosomal RNA", at positions 28 to 489 of the family's 1533-position model. The record is from RNAcentral.
GAUGAACGCUGGCGGCGUGCCUAACACAUGCAAGUCGAACGGAAUUUACAUGAAGCCUAGCGAUUGUUAAUUUAGUGGCGGACGGGUGAGUAACGCGUGGGUAACCUGCCUUGUACUGGGGGACAACAGUUGGAAACGACUGCUAAUACCGCAUAAGCGCACAGCUUCGCAUGAAGCAGUGUGAAAAACUCCGGUGGUACAAGAUGGACCCGCGUCUGAUUAGCUGGUUGGUGAGGUAACGGCCCACCAAGGCGACGAUCAGUAGCCGGCCUGAGAGGGUGAACGGCCACAUUGGGACUGAGACACGGCCCAAACUCCUACGGGAGGCAGCAGUGGGGAAUAUUGCACAAUGGGGGAAACCCUGAUGCAGCAACGCCGCGUGAGUGAAGAAGUAUUUCGGUAUGUAAAAGCUCUAUCAGCAGGAAAGAAAAAUGACGGUACCUGACUAAGAA